Molecule: ribosomal RNA, 253 nt
Filed under: uncultured bacterium
Lineage: Bacteria
Description: partial 16S ribosomal RNA
Rfam family: Bacterial small subunit ribosomal RNA
Source: RNAcentral
GACGUAGGGCGCGAGCGUUGUCCGGAUUUAUUGGGCGUAAAGAGCGUGUAGGCGGCCCGAUAAGUCCGCCGUGAAAGUCCAGGGCUCAACCCUGGAAUGCCGGUGGAAACUGUCGGGCUGGAGUCCGGAAGAGGCGAGUGGAAUUCCUGGUGUAGCGGUGAAAUGCGCAGAUAUCAGGAGGAACACCAAUGGCGAAGGCAGCUCGCUGGGACGGUACUGACGCUGAGACGCGAAAGCGUGGGGAGCAAACAGG